GCCCGCGCCUCUCCCGCCACACCUCCCUGCAAGCUGAGGGAGCCGGCUCCUGCCUUGGCCAGGCUAGAAAGGGGCUCCCACAGUGCAGGGGCGGGCUGAAGGGCUCCUCAAGUGCCACCAAAGUGGGAGCCCAGGCAGAGGAGGUGCCGAGAGCGAGCGAGGGCUGCGAGGACUGCCAGCAGCUGUCACCUCUCGUUACCAUCACUCCUAGUGACCAUUUCGGAUAAUCCACCUUGCCUCAUCAAACCAGAAAACAAUUCAAACCUGGCCUCCUUCUAACUGGAAGCCACAUUUUAAGAACUUAUUGUGAAGAACUGGAAAGCCUCCAAUAGAACAGAAGCUAAAAGCAGAAAUUAUAAAAGCUGUUACACCUACUCAGCUCUAUUACAUGUUGGAAAAACUGAACCAGAGAAACAAUUACAUACACUCUUGUCUUCUGGAAAAGCUGAAUUGGGUUUUGGUCUGAAUCAAUAGGAAACAGAAAAAAAAAAGAGAGAGAGACAGAGAGUAAAGAUAAUGGGACCCAUUAUACAGGCUGCCUUUCCAGCUCUCCAAUCAUACUUCCAAGAAAACUGCUCACUCUCAGAACCAAGGUUCAAGUUGUACAUUGGGAUUUGGGUAGAGGUAAGAGGAAACACCCUCAAAUAGAUUUGGAUCAUUCCAGAUGUCCUAUAAAUGAAGUUUGACAUUUGCUCAAGUAUCACCACCUCACUGUAAAAGCAACGAAUCUACCUUCAUUGUGAAAAUUUGGGGACUAGAAUUAAUGAGUACAGUAACCUUAUGGAUAGAACCUUCAGAGUUUUUCAUUAUCUAUGUGAAGAGAUAAUUCUAAAUUAUUUGAGAUCUAGUAUCUGUCAGCUUGGGGACUGGUGUCUAGUCCCAAGACUAGACAAAGGAAACCCUUAUUAGUAUUUUUAUUUUCCAUUUCAAAUAAAAAGGGUAUGUGUUAAAAAAAA
Molecule: long non-coding RNA, 956 nt
Organism: Homo sapiens (human)
Lineage: Eukaryota; Metazoa; Chordata; Mammalia; Primates; Hominidae
Product: long intergenic non-protein coding RNA 2046
Source: Ensembl